AGGAAUAUUGGUCAAUGGGCGCAAGCCUGAACCAGCCAUCCCGCGUGCAGGAUGAAGGUCCUAUGGAUUGUAAACUGCUUUUAUCAGGGAAGAAACGCCUUCAUUUAUGAGGGUCUGACGGUACCUGAGGAAUAAGCACCGGCUAACUCCGUGCCAGCAGCCGCGGUAAUACGGAGGGUGCGAGCGUUAUCCGGAAUUACUGGGUUUAAAGGGUGCGUAGGCGGGAGAUUAAGUCAGUGGUGAAAGCCUGUCGCUUAACGAUAGAAUUGCCAUUGAUACUGAUUUUCUUGAAUUGGGUUGAGGUUAGCGGAAUGUGACAUGUAGCGGUGAAAUGCAUAGAUAUGUCAUGGAACACCAAUUGCGAAGGCAGCUAACUGGGCCUUGAUUGACGCUGAGGCACGAAAGCGUGGGUAGCGAAC
This 419-nucleotide ribosomal RNA is filed under the name uncultured bacterium. Its description in RNAcentral is "bacterial SSU rRNA". It matches the Rfam family "Bacterial small subunit ribosomal RNA", at positions 357 to 773 of the family's 1533-position model. The record is from RNAcentral.